UUCAGAAUCAUCCGGUUAAAAGGGAAACAGGUGUGAAUCCUGUACGAUCUCGUCACUGUAUGUAGGGAGUAUGGAGCAAGGUGCGGAGCAUGUUUAUGAAAAUCGGAAAUGAAUUUUCAAACACACUCCAACGCACAGUCACUGGGCAGCUGGGAAGACUGCUUCAUAUGUUGAUCUAUCAGUCAGGAAACCUGCCUGCUGUU
Molecule: non-coding RNA, 203 nt
Filed under: uncultured Fusicatenibacter sp.
Lineage: Bacteria; Bacillati; Bacillota; Clostridia; Lachnospirales; Lachnospiraceae
Source: RNAcentral